Molecule: long non-coding RNA, 1105 nt
Organism: Chenopodium quinoa (quinoa)
Lineage: Eukaryota; Viridiplantae; Streptophyta; Magnoliopsida; Caryophyllales; Amaranthaceae
Exons: 4
Source: RefSeq, a predicted model, not a curated record
AAAAUUAAAUAAUCUCUCCUCUCAUAAUUCUUUUGUCGUGGAAGCACAGGGCCAUAGUUGAAGUUCUUGCAAGUUGCAACAUCACCAUCUCAUUCACUCUGAUUAGGUAUGGCGGAUUCAGGUGAAACAUGGUUUACCGUGACGGUUGAUGAUGAGGCAAAGGAUCUUUUGUUUCUUCCAGAUCAUAUAAGUGAUCUCUUUGGGGGGUACAAAGGAGGUUCAUGUUCAAAGAGGCAUUGGUGACUCAAAGACUUAUGAAGUUGAGCUCAUGGAGGUCAGGGGUGGAGAAGAAAAAUGUUUUGGAGAGGGUUGGCAUGUCUUCGUCGAGGAAAAUGGUGUGGAGAUUGGUGAUAUAUAUUAAUCAUAACGUGUCUGGGUGGUAAUUUAUUUAAGGUGGAUAUUUGGAGGGCUGGCGUUGAAAUCACCCGUAACACUAUUUUGAUCUCAUCUGAUUCAAGCGAUGAUGAUGGUGAUGGUGAUGAUACGAUGGAGCCUAUCCAACCACCUCCUCCCUCCUUCAAAUUCCAAUUCAUCAAAAGCUACAUAUCCAAACAAACAAUUUACGUUCCCGUAUCCUUUGCCCAUGCAUAUUUUAAUGGCCUUAAAGACCCCUUGUACUGUUGACUUGUAUAAUCGUCGGAAAUGGAGAGCCACAAUGCACAUUAAGUACAAUCGAAAUCGGAAGAUUGUGGCUUGCAAAAUCAAGAAAGGAGUUUCAAAAUUCAUUACGUGUGAAGAGGUUAAAGUGGAUGCAAAGGUUCUUGUUGAGUAAGUGGCACUAGUAGAAAAAGGCUUAUUUGCGUCGCUCAUUUAUAGUGUAUUUGCGUCGCUUCUAUGAGCGACGCAACUGCUCGCGACGCAAAUAAGAGUCAUUUGCGUCGCUCCUUUAUAAACAAGCGACGCAAAUGUCUCUUCUGAUAAACUUAUUUUUUUGUGGAGCGACGCAAAUGACUCUUCAGAUAAACUUAUUAUUUGUUAUUUGCGUCACUCCUUUAUAAAAGAGCGACGAAAAUCACUUUUCUGAUAAACUUCUUUUUUGUUAUUUGCGUCACUCCUUUAUAAAGAGCGACGCAAAUGACUCUUCUGAUAAACUUCUUUUUUGUUA